GAGCAAGCGGACCUCAUAAAGUAUGUCGUAGUCCGGAUUGGAGUCUGCAACUCGACUCCAUGAAGUCGGAAUCGCUAGUAAUCGUGGAUCAGAAUGCCACGGUGAAUACGUUCCCGGGCCUUGUACACACCGCCCGUCACACCAUGGGAGUGGGUUGCAAAAGAAGUAGGUAGCUUAACCUUCGGGAGGGCGCUUACCACUUUGUGAUUCAUGACUGGGGUGAAGUCGUAACAAGGUAACCGUAGGGGAACCUGCGGUUGGAUCACCUCCUUACCUUAAAGAA
This 283-nucleotide ribosomal RNA is filed under the name Citrobacter amalonaticus. Its description in RNAcentral is "partial 16S ribosomal RNA". It matches the Rfam family "Bacterial small subunit ribosomal RNA", at positions 1261 to 1533 of the family's 1533-position model. Lineage: Bacteria; Pseudomonadati; Pseudomonadota; Gammaproteobacteria; Enterobacterales; Enterobacteriaceae. The record is from RNAcentral.